RNAcentral lists this ribosomal RNA (133 nucleotides) under Crinipellis maxima. RNAcentral describes it as "partial large subunit ribosomal RNA". It matches the Rfam family "Eukaryotic large subunit ribosomal RNA", at positions 99 to 228 of the family's 3401-position model. The record is from RNAcentral. Lineage: Eukaryota; Fungi; Basidiomycota; Agaricomycetes; Agaricales; Marasmiaceae.
AGGGAAAAGCUCAAAUUUAAAAUCUGGCAGUCUUUGGCUGUCCGAGUUGUAAUUUAGAGAAGUGUUACCCGUGCUGAACCGUGUACAAGUCUCCUGGAAUGGAGCGUCAUAGAGGGUGAGAAUCCCGUCUUUG